RNAcentral lists this ribosomal RNA (1156 nucleotides) under uncultured bacterium. RNAcentral's name for it is "bacterial SSU rRNA". It matches the Rfam family "Bacterial small subunit ribosomal RNA", at positions 233 to 1387 of the family's 1533-position model. The record is from RNAcentral.
GCGUUGUAUUAGCUAGUUGGUGGGGUAACGGCUCACCAAGGCGACGAUACAUAGGGGGACUGAGAGGUUAACCCCCCACACUGGUACUGAGACACGGACCAGACUCCUACGGGAGGCAGCAGUGAGGAAUAUUGGUCAAUGGACGCAAGUCUGAACCAGCCAUGCCGCGUGCAGGAUGACGGCUCUAUGAGUUGUAAACUGCUUUUGUACGAGGGUAAACGCAGAUACGUGUAUCUGUCUGAAAGUAUCGUACGAAUAAGGAUCGGCUAACUCCGUGCCAGCAGCCGCGGUAAUACGGAGGAUUCAAGCGUUAUCCGGAUUUAUUGGGUUUAAAGGGUGCGUAGGCGGUUUGAUAAGUUAGAGGUGAAAUUUCGGGGCUCAACCCUGAACGUGCCUCUAAUACUGUUGAGCUAGAGAGUAGUUGCGGUAGGCGGAAUGUAUGGUGUAGCGGUGAAAUGCUUAGAGAUCAUACAGAACACCGAUUGCGAAGGCAGCUUACCAAACUAUAUCUGACGUUGAGGCACGAAAGCGUGGGGAGCAAACAGGAUUAGAUACCCUGGUAGUCCACGCAGUAAACGAAUGAAAAAUUCGUUGUUGGCGAUACACAGUCGGGGACUAAGCGAGAGCGAUAAGUUAUCCACCUGGGGGAGUACGUUCGCAAGAAUGAAACUCAAAGGAAUUGACGGGGGGCCCGCACAAGCGGAGGAACAUGUGGUUUAAUUCGAUGAUACGCGAGGAACCUUACCCGGGCUUGAAAGUUAGCGGCGAUUCUUGAAAGAGGAUUUCCCUUCGGGGCGCGAAACUAGGUGCUGCAUGGUUGUCGUCAGCUCGUGCCGUGAGGUGUCGGGUUAAGUCCCAUAACGAGCGCAACCCCUACCGUUAGUUGCCAUCAGGUGAAGCUGGGCACUCUGGCGGGACUGCCGGUGUAAGCCGAGAGGAAGGUGGGGAUGACGUCAAAUCAGCACGGCCCUUACGUCCGGGGCUACACACGUGUUACAAUGGUAGGUACAGAGGGCAGCUACCCAGCGAUGGGAUGCGAAUCUCGAAAGCCUAUCUCAGUUCGGAUUGGAGGCUGAAACCCGCCUCCAUGAAGUUGGAUUCGCUAGUAAUCGCGCAUCAGCCAUGGCGCGGUGAAUACGUUCCCGGGCCUUGCACA